This is a long non-coding RNA of Orcinus orca (killer whale), 1183 nucleotides long. RefSeq lists it as uncharacterized. Lineage: Eukaryota; Metazoa; Chordata; Mammalia; Artiodactyla; Delphinidae. The record is from RefSeq and is a predicted model, not a curated record. The transcript is spliced from 3 exons.
GGCCUGAAUGGAACGAAAAGGUGGAGGAAGGUUGAAUUGUCUCUGGCUGACUGCUGAGCUGGGACAUCCAUCUUCUCCUGCCCUUCAUGUCCUUGUUCUCAGCCUGGAGUCUCUACCAUGGGCUCCCUGGCUCUCAGGCCUUCAAACUAUACCACCGGCUUUCCUUCCUGGGUCUCCAGCUCGCAGACGGCAGAUCGUGGGACUUCUGUAAUCAUUUUUUUCAAUCCAGGUUUUCAAUCCUUUGUGACACAGAAUCAAGGUACUUGGAAGAGAGUGUUGGAACCAGAGGCGAAGCUGAGUUACAUUCAGAAGAGGGAGGACUAAUGCUUACCUUACGGUCCCCCAUGCCACAUUUACCAGUAUUCAUGUCCCUCCCCCAGUGACUGGCUUCAACUAGCAAGACAUUAGCAAGGGUGAUGCAAGGGGAGGCUUGCUGAGCUCUUGCACAAUGGGGCCUGUCCUCUUGGAAUUUUGCUCUUGUGAUGUACUCCCUUGGAACCCAGAAAUCAUACUGUGGCUGCCCAAAUUAGCAGUACGGAGAGGCCACUGGUUGGAGCACUGAGGCCCUAGCUGACACCCAAUCUGAGCUCCCAGCCAAUAGCCAGCCUCAGCUUGCCAACAAUGUAAAUGACGCAUCUUGAAAGUGGGUCCUCCAGCCUCAGUUGAGCCACAACAACUGGUGCCCAUGGAGCAGAGAAGAGCUGUCUUCACUGAGCCCUGCCUAAAUUCCAGAAUUAUGAACAAAUAAAUGUUGCUUCAAGCCCGCCAAGUUUUGGGUUAGGUUUGUUAUGCAGCCAUAGGUAACAUUCUAACUACACGCAGUGCACAGUGGUAGUUUCUAUUGUAUUCAAUUCUAUCUUAUUUGUCAAGAUGGUAAAUUGAUUUCAUGACUUACUAAUGAGUCAUGAUCCACAAUUUGAAAAGUGCUGCUCUAAUCAAUGGCAGAUGUGUUUGAGACAAUCUGUUUUCCAACCUCUCCCUCUAUCCUGCUGCUCUUAGCCUCUGUGACAUGAAAGAGAUGAGAGGUAAUCUCAAGAUGUCACCCAGUCCAGGGCUGUGUCUCACAAAGGGCUGCCCCUAAAGCCAUCUGGGUCUCCAGGUAAACAAUUCUAUUCAGUAGAUAAUUUUACUCAGGAAUUAUUUAGCCCUUUUGUAUGCCUGGCUCUGAAUCCUGCAAGCACAG